AGCCUAGUUUGGACAUAUUACGUAUAAGUAUUGCCAGUUCCAAGUGAAAUGAAGUCAGAAGAUGCUGUUAUUCACAGCGAAGACUUGUAUACAUCAACUUUUAUUGUACUAUGUUCUUACUAGUAGUAAGUUUACUUUUUCUCGUUAAUUUGUAUUUUUUUUAUUAACAGUAACUCUUUAAAUAUUGCCUUCUAUAUCAGUAAGGUAAAACAACAGUAGGUCGAAAAUUAAAGACAUGCAAAAUGAUUAUUUCUAUAUGAUAUAUGUAAUUUAUAUAAAAAGCGACACAUAUGUUCUUUCACCACUUUAUUUUUACCUUCGAGUUGUUUCUUUAAUGGUAUAUCAUAGUGUUUGUCACUUAAUUCUGUUUUCCUUUUCAGUUAUUGUUUCUUGUGACAUUCGGAUGUGUUUGACGAUGGAAGUUAAAAAGGAAUAUUUGAUUCUCAAAUGUAAAGUUAGCCGGUUAUUAUAUGUAGUUUCAUUUAAUAACCCCGAUAACAUAGAAGAAGGAUACUGUUUGACCCUGUUCCCUUUUCCAAAAUGUUUUUCUAUUGACAUGCAUAAUGCCAUUUCACAGGAUCGCAAAACAAACACCACUAUAUUAACAAUAAAUAGAAAAAUCGUUGGCAGAAUUAAUGGUCCUUGGACAUGUUUGCAUGGUUCACAGUGGGACCGAGCUGUUAUUAAUGUAACAGUGUUUGAAGACGGUAAUUUUAUUUUUAAACGUAUUCAUUAUUUUUUGUCACGUGAUAAGGUGCAAAAAAUCCUUUUAAGAACUGGAUCAAAUUAGAAGAAAAAAAUCAAAUAUGUAUUAAAGAGAAAGCAGAAAACAUAUAUUAUUAUAGCAUACACAAAUUGUCUAUAGGUAACACAUUCUGUUGAUGUCAUAUAGUUUCGUAUUGUGUUUGAGACCGUCUUACGUUUUCGACUUAAAACUCCUUUCAAUUUUCGUAUGCUGCGCAUGCCCGCGUGACGUCAUAUUCGGCUGCUAUACCUAGUUACAAUAGCAAAUGAUACCAAGUGUGGUGAAGAUUUUCCAAAUAAAGUUAUAAUAAUUACGUAUUUACGAUUUUUUAUUUUAUAUCACAUUUGUUACUCUUCCAAUAAUACUAGUUUUACCGUUCCGAAGAAACGAUAUAAAAUAAACUAAUUUUCUAAAAAUAUGGCAGAAGUCUUUUUUCAUGCAAAGUUAACUUCCAUGUCAUUAAGUCACAUGACUAUCAUAUGGUUAGUUGUUAUACUUACAGGUAAUUUGCAUACGGAAAAUCGCAUGCUCCUUACAGCUUUUUACCGAAAAAUAAAAUAUCAGUUAAUUUUUAUUUUCUGAAAAAUCUGUCUGUCUGUGGAAAUUACAGAAAAUACCCACCAAUCUCACUUCACAAUGCAUUAACUAAAGUAUUUUAGGAUUAUGUACCCUUGUGUUGAAUCAAUGCUAAACAUAUGGAAAUUUUAUAGAAAAUCAACAGCCUUUAUCUUUUUACUCGUAUAUUUUGCAAUUUGAUAACUAAAUAUAUGGUUAUUGCUUGCAUUGAUUUCCUGAAAACAAGUUUAUUAAUGUAGAAGUUGGUUAAAACACAUAAAAAUAUACUACAAAUCAAGUACCCCUUUUAGGGUGUGCUCGACUUUAGUAACUCAGGUGUUUUGAAAUUUACAGGUUGGUAAGAACUUUUUGUAAAAAAUAAACACUUGCAGAUCAUAGAAAAGCAAGUGAGUAAUCUCUAUGUUUUAAAUAUUAUAACAAAAAACUCUGGAUUAAAGGCUGUGAAUUUUCUAUAAAAUUUUGGUUUAUUUACCACAAAGUACUCUUUUUCUAUUAAAUGAAAUUAAACAGUAAAUUACAUUGCGUUGCAUCAAGCUGCCCCUUGGUGUAUGUACAAAAUAGCCUAUCUCUAUUAAUCGUUAUGUUUGUAGUUUUUAUACAAUUUAAGUUUGAAAAAUUCUUACACAAAUGGCUACAGAAGGGGUCAUAAACCUUAACAAAAUCAUGAAUAUAUACAAGACCAUACAAGGGUUCCAAUAUGCCUCAUUUUGAAAUGUGUACAACUUUUCCAAAACAAAAUAUCAAAUAAUAUUUUAUAUCUUAUAGUGGUAUAUAAAACCAUUUAACAUGUUUAACUCAUUAAGUCAUAAGUUUGAUCGCCUCUAACACUUUGAUCUAAAUUUCGGUAUCAAAUUUAUAACUAUUUCCGAAUGUUAACGACAUGUCAUUUCCGACUUUAGACCCAUUUCUUAGAUACAUGUAGGUCGAAAACACACGGAGCUUGUUUUUGUCAACAAAGGUGCCAUAGAUCUAAUGAAUUCAAAUUAAAAAAAAAUCAAAGAUCGAAAUGUAUUUCAGAUACAAUUAUUUUAUGCACAAGUAUACAUGUGACUUUCAAAAUAUUAGACAUGUCUAUAUUCAAACAUAUAAAAGGGAAAUUGGGAAAAAUAUGUUAAUAGGUCGAAAAAACAAUACACGAUGAUACUAUUGUUGUGAACAGGUUCUUUAUUUUUAAAUUAGUUAUUUCUGUUUUUGGAGUUAAAACUGUCUUCAUGCUUCAUGAGAUUUUGAAUUAUUUGCUCAUUCGGCUUAAGGCAUUUUCGAACGGACAUUGAUACAUACUUAGGUUAUUUAGUUCGUUGAAAUUACAUGAUACAGAAGAAAACACAUUUUUCGGUUCAUUUUAAAUUCGUCCAAUAAAAAAAAGUUUCAAUGAACUUAAUUAAUAUGCAUUUAUUAACCCAUGUUUCAUUUAGAAUAACAUGUCAGGUACUCCGUUUCAAGUCAUAAUUUCCUAGAAAAAAAAUCGCCUUCAUUUUUGGUUGUUACUCGUAUAAUUUGUAUUAUCGUAUAUUUAUUUGUAAUUGUAUUUUUCUCAUUUUAGCGAUGCUAGAAUCAGUAUCAGACAAUGGUAAGUAUUUAAAAGUGUACAUUUUGACAAAAAACAAUUAUUUGGUAAUACUCAUAAGACUGCAGUUGCUUAACGAUAUAAAAAUCAACUGUUUGAGUGAUUUACAUUCCAAAUACAAACUUUCAGUAACACUUAUACAAUAUAGUUUCAUAUCACUUUUUGAUAAAAUUACAAUCUUGUGUUGAGUAAUAUUUUUCUAGUUCGCAGUGUAACAUAGGAAGCGAAUAAGAAUUUUUUUUAACAAACGUAUGCUACAUGUGAAUCUAUUUCUUCUAGUCUUUUUGAGGACAUCACAUUGUUUGGUUUGGUUCGUAUUUUUCAUUUUUUGUUUUAAGUUUGGCAUAAUCGGUUGUUCUGUAGAUUGUCAUAUGUUUUGCUUUCAUUUUAUAUUAAAUGAUCAAACUCACAUUUGAUGGUUAUAUCUUUACAGAAAACUGUCGUGAGGAAUACAUGGCGUGGACAUUUAUUGGCGUUAUAAUUUGCCUUUUUAUACUAAUAAUUUCCAGGACACUUUUAAACAUGCUGAAAAGAAUAUUUUGUGAGUACGAUUAUACAAAUAAAAGCAACAGUAGUUUACCGGUGUGGUAAGGUCAUAAAUUGGUUCAGUUAAACCACAUCCGGUUUAAAACACAUUAACUGUAAGAUGAAAACAAAGAAACAACAGGAACAGUGCAGUUCAACAAAAACCCAACGACAAUAUACAUAAAAACGAUCUAUUAGAUAACAGCUGUAAUAUUUCUGGUUUAGUACAGGACAUUUAAGAAAAAUAUGGAGGAACUUGGUUAAAUGGCAAGCCAAGCCUGAAAUUUCACAAAUUUUACAAAAUAACUCUUAAAUGACAACAUUACGUGACAGAAAAACAACAAAAACACACAAAGAUCGUUAAUUCAAAAGAAACGUACACACAAAAAAAUAAUAGUCGACACAACAGCAAACCGCAGAACAACAUUUGGCUUUUGUUACCAGUGAGGUUAAAGACUGCUUUCCAGUAUGAAUUAAAUAAUUGAAAAAUCGCUAAGUAUGAGUACUGGGGCUACUUAGGUAUUUAUAUAUCAGGGAAUGAUUGAAUAAGAUAUUUUUUGUCAUCGUUAAAAAAAAGGAUAGGGAAUUUAUUGUGAAAACGUAAACAUGUAUUUAGGGUGCAAGAGUAAAAGCAUAAAAGCAAUAGUAAUAGACUUAUUUGUCCCCAUUUUUAGUGAUAAUUUGUUCCUAAUGCAACACAGAUGUUACUUUAAUUUGCUAAUGUUCAAAUUGCAAAAAUCUAUUCAAAAAUCUAUAUAAAGAUGUAACCGGAAGGAAUAUCAAAAUCACAGAAGUAGUGAUACUGAGUCCUUAGACCUUGGUUAAAAAGUCCAAAACGAACUUGUAAAUUCUUAACAUCUACUCAAGUCCAGCGCUCAUUAAAAAAUGUACACCAAAUGAUUAAUAUAAGACUAGGGUGUAAGUGAUAUAUUUGUUAAAGAGAAAUCAGUGGGAACACCAACAUAUAUAUAACUUCCCUCGUUUCAUUGAGUACUGACAUAUAUAAUAUACGAGAACAAAUUGAAAGAGUGUGUAUUUUCUAUAAUGUUCAUAUGUGCCCCAAAUAACAUCGUGUGUGUGUGUGAACGUCAUUACAUAAACUGCUUGAUAAACGAAUUACGUAUUGACAAAUAAAUUUGAAACUCAACAUAUACCCUCAUGACAUAUCAUGUAUGUUCUAUGUCCCUUUGGAAUUUCAACCAAAGAUGAAGAACUGGAUCUUCCAUCACUGUAAUAGAUACCUAAACUACAUAAGUGUCCUUACAAACAAAGGUAUAUUGCUGGGUCUUCCAAGUGCUCCACGAAACCUCUUUCCAAAUUAUUAACAUCUAUUUUAUCAGCAAUCAAAGACGGGCUUCAAAGUUAUUGUGAAACUGCCUAUUCUAGAGGUGGCGUGAAUCAGAUGUGUAAAAGAUCUUUUAGAGUACAAACAAUCUAACUCUCUUUCAUCUUGUAACAGUAUUAAAACAUUUGACUUUUCUACUCUUUACACAAGUAUUCCAAGUAUUCCACAUUUCAAACUAAAAGACAUAUUGCAAGAGUUCGUAUUGCUUUGCUUCACAAAAAAGAAUGGCCCACGUAGAUACAAGUAUCUUGUCUUAGGGUGAGAUAAAACUUACUUUGUAAAGGAUCACUUUGAUUCAAACAAAUUAUCUGAAACUGAUAUCAUCAAAAUGCUUGAUUUCUUGAAUGGCAACAUAUUUGUUACGUUCGGAGGACGUGUUUUACAACAGACGUUCGGCAUUCCAAUGGGAACAAACUGUGCCCCUCUACUUGCCGACUUGUUUCUUUAUAAUUAUGAGGCUGACUCCAUGUAGGAAUUUCUUAGGAAGAAAGAUAAAAAGUUAGUAAUAUCCUUUAACUCUACUUUCCCCUAUAUAGAUGAUGUUCUUUCACUAAAUAAUUCAAAAUUUGGUGACUAUGUGGAAUGCAUCAAUCCAAUCGAACUGGAGAUAAAGGAUACUACAGAUACAGUUAAUAUAAAAAAGAAAGAUGUGGUAUUGGCAACGAGACAACUAUCCGUAAAAGACCAAAAUGACACAAACAUUAACAAUUAUUAACAAUUAACCGUACGGCCUUCAACAAUGAGCAAAGCCCAUACCGCAUAGUCAGCUAUAAAAGGUCCCGAUAACACAAUGUAAAACAAUUCAAACGAGAAAACUAACGGCCUUAUUUAUGUAAAUAAAAAAAUUAACGAAAUACAAAUAUGUAACACAUAAACAAACGACAACCACUGAAUUACAGGCUCCUGACUUGGGACAGGCACAUAAAUAAAUAGCGUUGCGGGGUUAAACAUGUUAGCGGGAUCCCAACCCUCCCCUAACCUGAGACAGUGGUAUAACAGUACAAGUCGGCUUCAUAUCUUGAACUACAUCUAGAAAUUAACAACAAGGGUCGGUUGAAAACAAAACUCUACGACAAAAGAGAUGAUUUCAACUUUCCAUUUCUAAGUAGCAGCAUUCCAGCAGCACCUGCAUACGGGGUAUGUAUCUCCCAAUAGAUACGAUAUUCCCUUGCUUGCCUUUCCUACCAUGAUUUUUUUGAUAGGGGGUUGCUGCUCACAAGAGUUCCAAAUGGUGAAGUUGAAAUCAUCACAUCUUAAAUUAAUCACAUAAGCAACACGACGGGUGCCACAUGUACAAAAAAUGAUGUAGAGCAAGAUCUGCUUGCCCUUCCGGAGCACCUUAAAUGACCCCUAGUUUUUGGUUAGGUUCGUGUUGUUUAUUCUUUAGUUUGCAAUGUUGUUUCAUGUUUACUAUUGUUUGUCUGUUUGUCUUUUUCAUUUUUAGCUAUGGCGUUGUCAGUUUUUUUUUAGAUUUAUGUGUUUGAAUGUCCCUUUGGUAUCUAUCGUCCCUAUUUUAAGUGUUAAACAAAAAAAUGGUACAUUCAUGUUUUAGAUGCAUGACCGAACUGUUUUUUUUUUAAUUCGAUUAAAUGACUAUAGAUAUAGAAAGAUGUGGUAUGAGUGCCAAUGAGACAUAUAAAAAUAAACCAUUACAGGUGAAGGUAGGUCUUUAACACGGAGCUUUGACUCACACCAAACAGCAAGCUAUAAAGGUCCCCAAAACAUUACUAGUGUAAAUAAACUCAUCAUAGAUACUAGGACUAAAUUCUAAAUAUACGCCAAACGCGCGUUUCGUCUGAAAAAGACUCAUCAGUGACGCUCGAAUCCACAAAAGUUGAAAAAAAGGCUAAAUAAAGUACGAAGUUUUGAAGAGCAUUGAGAUCCAAAAUUCCUAAAAGUGUUGCCAUAUACAGCUAAGGUAAUAUAUGCCUGAUGUAGACAAGCCUUAGUAUUUAAAAACUUCAAAUUUUGUUAACAGCUAAUUUAUAAAUAUAACAAUAUAAAUGAUAAGUCAUGUCAGCAAAAAAUGCUAACUACUGAUACCCUCGGGGAAAUAAAUCGAGCCAGUUGUUGUAAACAAACUCAUCAUAAAUACCAGGACUAAAUUUUAAAUAUACCCCUGAUAUACCGUUUAGGGAUAAUAAGAGACAACUUGUACAUUAAUACAUUAGUCUUAUAUUUGGAACAUUUGGGAUUAAUAUCAACAUUAAACUUAAAAAUUGGUGCGCCAUAAAUGUUCGUAUUUUACAUGUACAGGUUCUAAGACUUUAAAAAAUAGGAAAUAUCAAGUAAUAUCAAACAAUCGAAGCUGGUAUAUAUACCAGACAUAUUCGACACGUCUAACCUAUAGUGAUGAUCGUACGUAGUUGAUCCUGUAACAAUGGCUCCCAAGUAUACAUUUUAAAAAGUUUUUUUUUUUUAACAAAUUAAUCAGAGAAAAUAUUAGUUUUUGCAUGUUUUUAUGUUUAGAUGCAUUCCAUGAUGUUCUUGUUUCAUUUCUAGCGGAAACAGUUA
RNAcentral lists this long non-coding RNA (7272 nucleotides) under Mytilus galloprovincialis (Mediterranean mussel). The record is from RNAcentral. Lineage: Eukaryota; Metazoa; Mollusca; Bivalvia; Mytilida; Mytilidae.